UAUUGCGCAAUGGAGGAAACUCUGACGCAGUGACGCCGCGUAUAGGAAGAAGGUUUUCGGAUUGUAAACUAGUGUCGUGAGGGAAGAAAUUGACAGUACCUUAGGAGGAAGCUCCGGCUAACUAUGUGCCAGCAGCCGCGGUAAUACAUAGGGAGCAAGCGUUAUCCGGAUUUAUUGGGUGUAAAGGGUGCGUAGACGGGAAAUUAAGUUAGUUGUGAAAUCCCUCGGCUUAACUGAGGAACUGCAACUAAAACUGGUUUUCUUGAGUACUGGAGAGGAAAGUGGAAUUCCUAGUGUAGCGGUGAAAUGCGUAGAUAUUAGGAGGAACACCAGUGGCGAAGGCGACUCUUUGGUCUGUAACUGACGCUGAGGCGCGAAAGCGUGGGGAGCAAACAGG
This 397-nucleotide ribosomal RNA is filed under the name uncultured bacterium. Its description in RNAcentral is "bacterial SSU rRNA". It matches the Rfam family "Bacterial small subunit ribosomal RNA", at positions 362 to 776 of the family's 1533-position model. The record is from RNAcentral.